UACGGGGGGAGCAAGCGUUGUUCGGAUUUACUGGGCGUAAAGGGUGCGCAGGCGGUCGGGUGUGUCAGAUGUGAAAUCCCGAGGCUCAACCUCGGAACUGCGUCUGAAACUACUCGACUAGAGUACUGGAGAGGGUAACGGAAUUCACGGUGUAGCAGUGAAAUGCGUAGAUAUCGUGAGGAACACCAGAGGCGAAGGCGGUUACCUGGACAGUUACUGACGCUCAGGCACGAAAGCAUGGGGAGCAAAAGGG
RNAcentral lists this ribosomal RNA (253 nucleotides) under uncultured bacterium. RNAcentral describes it as "partial 16S ribosomal RNA". It matches the Rfam family "Bacterial small subunit ribosomal RNA", at positions 524 to 776 of the family's 1533-position model. The record is from RNAcentral.